AUACAUUUUUGCUUAUUUAUUGUUUUAACCAAGGUUGUCCAGAGAAACAGGAAAAAAUAGAAUAUUAAUAUUUAUAGAAAGAGAUUUAUUACAGGAAAUUGGCUCACACAAUUAUGGAGGCUGGGAAGCCCAAAACCUGGAGGGUGGACAGAUAGGCUGAAGACACAGAAGAGUCAGUGUUCCAAUUUGAGUCUAAGGGCCAUCUUCUAUAGAACUGAGAAGAGCUUAUGCUGUUGAUGAAGUGCAGAGGCAAUCUGCUGGAGAAGUCUCUCUUCCUCAGGGAAGGGCAUUCAUUUUGUUCUUUUCAAGCCUUCAACUGACUGGAUGAGGCCUCUUGGAUGCUACAUUCACUAUAUGGGUGAUGGGUUCAACAGAAACUCAAACCUCAGCCUUAGUGAACAAAUCUGCACAUAUAUCCCUUGAACCAAUAAUCUGGAGAAUCACACUCUCUUUCCUCUUCCACAUCAAUGUCAUCCUCUUCAUUCAUCCUCAUAAACUAUGUUCUAAUCAUUCCUUCUUUUGUCUUCUUUUUCUUUCCACCUCCAGGCUCUUCCCCUUUAUUUUUAUUAAGUCAACAAAUGCAUGUGUCUCUGCUACAUGCCAGACACUAUACUAGACCUCUCCUUCCUCUCUGCUAACUUUCCACUCUGUUCAGUCAGGCCUUGUUUGUUGUAUUAGUUUCCUAGAGUGCUGUAACAAAUUACCAUAAACUGGAUGGACUAAGGCAACAUCGAUUUAUUCUCUUCUUAUUGUGGAAGCCAGAAGUCCAAAAUUAAAGCACUGCUGUGCUUCCUCCUAAGACUCUGGAGAUAAAUCUCUUCUUUUCCUCUUCCAGCUGCUGGUGGCGCCAGGUGUUGCUUGGCUCUUGGCUGCACCACUCCCAUCUCUGCCUGUCUUCAUUUUACCUCCUCCUUUUCUCUCUCAAAAUUCCAUCUGCUUCUCUCCUGGGAACGCCUGAGAUAAUUUAACCAGGAUAGAGCACUGGAUUCAUCUUGGUUGAGGAGUCAAAAUUAUAUGUAGCUGGAAAGACA
RNAcentral lists this long non-coding RNA (1031 nucleotides) under Homo sapiens (human). RNAcentral describes it as "HSALNT0242678". Lineage: Eukaryota; Metazoa; Chordata; Mammalia; Primates; Hominidae. The record is from RNAcentral.